UGGGGGAUAUUGCACAAUGGGCGAAAGCCUGAUGCAGCGACGCCGCGUGGGGGAUGAAGGCCUUCGGGUUGUAAACUUCUUUUGCUCUGAACAAGGCGCACCAUGGGGUGUGUUGAGUGUAGGGGUUGAUUAGCGCCGGCUAACUACGUGCCAGCAGCCGCGGUAAUACGUAGGGCGCGAGCGUUGUCCGGAAUUAUUGGGCGUAAAGGGCUUGUAGGUGGCUGGUUGCGUCUGUCGUGAAAGCUCAUGGCUUAACUGUGGGUUUGCGGUGGGUACGGGCUGGCUUGAGUGCAGUAGGGGAGGCUGGAAUUCCUGGUGCAGCGGUGGAAUGCGCAGAUAUCAGGAGGAAUACCGGUGGCGAAGGCGGGUCUCUGGGCUGUUACUGACACUGAGGAGCGAAAGCAUGGGGAGCGAACAGG
Molecule: ribosomal RNA, 419 nt
Filed under: bacterium
Lineage: Bacteria
Description: partial 16S ribosomal RNA
Rfam family: Bacterial small subunit ribosomal RNA
Source: RNAcentral